This 229-nucleotide ribosomal RNA is filed under the name uncultured bacterium. RNAcentral's name for it is "partial 16S ribosomal RNA". It matches the Rfam family "Bacterial small subunit ribosomal RNA", at positions 15 to 235 of the family's 1533-position model. The record is from RNAcentral.
GAUCAUGGCUCAGGAUGAACGCUGGCUACAGGCUUAACACAUGCAAGUCGAGGGGCAGCAUGGUCUUAGCUUGCUGAGGCCGAUGGCGACCGGCGCACGGGUGAGUAACGCGUAUCCAACCUGCCUUACACUCUUGGACAGCCUUCUGAAAGGGAGAUUAAUACAAGAUGUUAUCAUGAGUAAGCAUUUUCGCAUGAUUAAAGGUUUACCGGUGUAAGAUGGGGAUGCG